Molecule: long non-coding RNA, 287 nt
Organism: Hibiscus syriacus
Lineage: Eukaryota; Viridiplantae; Streptophyta; Magnoliopsida; Malvales; Malvaceae
Exons: 3
Source: RefSeq, a predicted model, not a curated record
GUAACCACGGUGGGAGAGGAGAUGCUAUAUAAUCCGUGCUUGUCGAAAGAUGAAGAAACUUUCAUAAGCAUCAUGCAAAAUCUUAACUUGGCAUACCCUAAGAUGAUUGAUGUUGCAGUGCCAGCAAAUUUGGUUUGUGGGUUGCAAGAUUUGGAAUCUAAAGCCAACCAAGACUUUACGGGACCGUCCAUAGGUGCACAGAUUUUAUUUGUAGUAUGAUUCUGGAUCACGAUAUCAGUGGAUAUACUAAAUAAAUGGCUUUGCAUGCUACUUGACUGCAAAGAAUC